GACGGAGGAUGCAAGUGUUAUCCGGAAUCACUGGGCGUAAAGCGUCUGUAGGUGGUUUAAAAAGUCUACUGUUAAAACUUGAAGCUUAACUUCAAAAAUGCCGUAGAAACUUUUAAACUUGAGUAUGGUAGGGGUAGAGGGAAUUUCCAGUGGAGCGGUGAAAUGCGUAGAUCUUGGAAAGACCACCAAUGGCGAAGGCACUCUACUGGGCCAUAACUGACACUAAGAGACGAAAAGCUAGGGGAGCAAAUGGG
This 254-nucleotide ribosomal RNA is filed under the name uncultured bacterium. RNAcentral describes it as "partial 16S ribosomal RNA". It matches the Rfam family "Bacterial small subunit ribosomal RNA", at positions 524 to 776 of the family's 1533-position model. The record is from RNAcentral.